CCUUCAUUCGCCGUACGGCGGAUUGGAUGUAUGUGUUGAGUGGUCAACAUCAUGGAAGAAUUAAAAUUAACUAUUUUUUAAUGUUGUUGGCCUUCAUCUUUCACUAGAAGAGGGAUCAAAGCCAAUUUUUGAUCGCGAAGAACUGAAAAUAAGCGAAUGCAGUACAGAUGAGGCUCCGGAACGACGAACAAUUCUGCGUCAUGAACCUAAAACAGCUUUUCAUUCUUCAGGUAAAAAGGAAUCAUCGAAAAGACGUUCCAGAUCAGUAAAUUCAGAGAGGCCGAGGCGUCAGAGCUCGCGGAGAUUGUCGAGGUAAGUAAACACUCACACAAGCCAAAGAAUUAUUAAAGGAGAAGUUCUUUAAUAUGGAUUAAAACUGAUUGGUUCAGGAAUGAUUCAAACAAUGCGCUAAAUUCAUUGCCUGAUAAUUGUGGAAUGGAAGACGUUAAAUUUAUUAUAAUUGCAAUGGAUGUUGAGUUGUGCUUCUCCCUAGGUGAUGAAUCAAAACCCAUUUUGGAACGGGAGGAACUGAAGGCUGAGGAAAAAAAUAUUGUCGACAUUCCAGAACAACGUACAGUAGUUGCUCGCAAUGACUUGGAAACUGCUGAGCCCGAUAGAAGAUCAGCUACUUUACCAUAUGCUCAAUCCGUCGUCUUCCCGAUGUACUAUGAUGUGAGCAUCUGUUAUUAAUUGAUGUCACAGUUCAAUAUAUUCAAUAUGAAUUUCACAGUGACGAUAGACGUCCUGUAGAAAUUUGGAAUGAGAUUUUUCAUCCAGUGGGCUUAUCCAGUGGGCCUUUUUUUUUUUUAUUUGGGAAUUUUCAAGUUAAACCAUUAAAUAAUCAUGUCAUUUCGUUUAAUUUUGACAUAAAAAUUGUUUCGAAAUUCAAAUAAAACAUUUAACUCAUGUAGUACACCAGGCUGCAACAUGGUCAGACUAUAAGAAGUGUAAUUUUUGUAAAUAUCUGAUAUCCAUAACUCCUGAUGAAUUGAUUAAUUUCAUCUCCUGUGGAUUUGGCGGUCACUCCAGGGACAUAAAAAUUGUCAAAAAUUCUGGAUAUUUAUCGGUUCUCCCUUCUGGGUCAUCUAUUCUCGCAGAUAGAGGAUUUAAACAAAUCGAAUCCUAGUUACACCAAAAAAAAAACUGUAAACUUCUGCGACCUUCUUCGGUCCAAACAGAUGUGAAACCUACCAAAGAGGAAGUCUUAAAAACGACAGAAAUUGCCAGUGUAAGAAUCCACGUAGAGAGAGUGAUCAGACGCCUGAGAGAAUUUAAAAUGUUGCAACCACAUGUUACGGUCGAUCACAACUUAAUCCAUCUGAUGGAGGAUAUAGUACAGGUGGCCGCUGCAUUCGUAAACUUACAAAGCAAAAUAAUAACAUGUUGAUUACAAAAAUUUAGACUCAUUGAGAUAUGUAUACCGAUGUAUUUUUAAUAAAUUAAUGCAUUAUAGUUUCAA
This is a long non-coding RNA of Diachasmimorpha longicaudata, 1459 nucleotides long. RefSeq lists it as uncharacterized. The record is from RefSeq and is a predicted model, not a curated record. The transcript has 3 exons. Lineage: Eukaryota; Metazoa; Arthropoda; Insecta; Hymenoptera; Braconidae.